This is a long non-coding RNA of Sinocyclocheilus anshuiensis, 289 nucleotides long. RefSeq lists it as uncharacterized. Lineage: Eukaryota; Metazoa; Chordata; Actinopteri; Cypriniformes; Cyprinidae. The transcript is spliced from 3 exons. The record is from RefSeq and is a predicted model, not a curated record.
GUGGUUAAUGCGUUGCAGACAUUCAUUAUUUUGUCCUUGCGCGCCUACCGUAGUUCAGCAGAAAAUGGCUGACACUGCUGCGGUGGUUUAUGUCUGCAGUGUUUUCACCCUGUGUAAUAAUACAUUUUGAUGUAUUCCUCAGACACGAUUAUCAUUGCUGCGGAGAAUAAAAGAAAGAACAGACAACCAGAGUCUUGUGUGCGUCGUCCAUUUAAAGUUUGUGACGGAAGUGUUAAGGCCACAUUGGGGACAACAAUCGUUACAGUCGCGCCCCCUUUAAACCUAUAAA